RNAcentral lists this ribosomal RNA (463 nucleotides) under uncultured bacterium. RNAcentral describes it as "bacterial SSU rRNA". It matches the Rfam family "Bacterial small subunit ribosomal RNA", at positions 34 to 498 of the family's 1533-position model. The record is from RNAcentral.
CGCUAGCGGCAGGCUUAACACAUGCAAGUCGAGGGGUAUAAGUCUUCGGAUUUAGAGACCGGCGCACGGGUGCGUAACGCGUAUGCAAUCUGCCUUUCACUGAGGGAUAGCCCAGAGAAAUUUGGAUUAAUACCUCAUAGUAUUACGACCCGGCAUCGGGAUGUAAUUAAAGUCACAACGGUGAAAGAUGAGCAUGCGUCCCAUUAGCUGGUUGGUAAGGUAACGGCUCACCAAGGCGACGACGGGUAGCCGGCCUGAGAGGGUGACCGGCCACACUGGGACUGAGACACGGCCCAGACUCCUACGGGAGGCAGCAGUGGGGAAUAUUGGACAAUGGGCGCAAGCCUGAUCCAGCCAUGCCGCGUGCAGGAUGACGGUCCUAUGGAUUGUAAACUGCUUUUGUACGAGAAGAAACACUGAUUCGUGAAUCAGCCUGACGGUAUCGUAAGAAUAAGGAUCGGCU